RNAcentral lists this ribosomal RNA (201 nucleotides) under uncultured bacterium. RNAcentral's name for it is "partial 16S ribosomal RNA". It matches the Rfam family "Bacterial small subunit ribosomal RNA", at positions 27 to 215 of the family's 1533-position model. The record is from RNAcentral.
GAACGAACGCUGGCGGCGUGGAUAAGACAUGCAAGUCGAGCGCUGAUUACAGGGUAGCAAUAUUUCUGUGGUCGGAGCAGCGCAAGGGGUGCGUAACACGUGGGUAAUCUGGCCGUGAAGUUUGGGAUAACUUGCUGAAAGGCGAGCUAAUACCGGAUGUGAAAAUUAGGAGGCAUCUUCCGAUUUUCAAAGCUGGGACCG